CAGAAUUUUACUUUAGAGAAAGAAUUCAAGACUUAGUUUCUCCUUAAUGUGACUAAUACUGAAGAGACAAGAUUUAAAAUAUACUUUCUCUGAAGUAACUAGAAAAUAAUUAAAUGCCAUCCAUGUAGUUGUAUUUGCCAACAUGACAUCUCUCAUUCGUUUGAGGCUGGGCUUACAUAGCCAUUCCCUGUGUUCUUUACAUUUUGUAUCUUCAGUUGCUCAGUGUCAGCCUUGUUUCACCUUUAGUUCUGCCUUAUUUUCCACUUGCCAUGCACAGAACUGGGGGAGCCUCUGGAAGUGCCAGGCUGCCACUGUCAGCUAGAUUUGCCAAGUCAAAGAGGCACAGCCAGCCCCUAAGUGCCUUUUUGGUUGCUUUUGCAUUGUGAGGACAUUCGGCAGGCAGGUCACAGUCCCUGCUGUGUGUUUCAGGGACUCUUCAUCUCACUGUAGAUGUUCCGUGCAACCAGCUUCAGUUGUGGGUUCUGUAGCCUAACACAGACCAAAGCCAGCUUUGGCCUGACUCACAAAGAUGGUCAGGACAGCAUGUAAGAGCAGAGCUGUGUCCUCAGGGAAACAGACAGGCAAGUGGCAGAGCUGGUCGGAUGCUGGUGUUCUUACAGUUUUUGAAUGUGAGGGACUAAAGUUGAUUUUGAACACCUGGACACCCAUCCCAUUUUCUCCCUUCCCAGUCCACCACCUCUUCACACCCAUGCUUAUAGGAAGAUUGUGUGGGACCCGCAUUGAAACGCUGGCCUUGAUACAUGGAGGAAUAUCAUUGCCAGCAACUGCACUCAGGAGCCCGAAUUCAGGAGUGAAAUUGCCACUUCUAGUCAGCCCCUUAUUUCCUAUGGAAACGACGCCUUCCGCCCUGCGCCUGCUGUCCUCACAUAAAGCUGAAUCAGGGUCGCCGACACUGUUCACGUUGGUCCAUCUUCUUCCUUUGCUGCUGCAGUGAGCAUCCUUCCACGCCAUCAGGAACCACUUGAUUUCCAACAGCUUCAGUCCACUAACCUUCUGAGGACUUUUUUAAAUGUAGUACCACAAAGUGACAAUUAUGGCAGGCCUGCCUUGAAAGAAUUGUCAUUUUUACUGCCAAUUUUUGGAUGAAGAUGUUUUUAUAAUCUUUUACAGUGGUCUGCAAUCAAGCAGGAAUUGCACAAUUGACUCAAUGCUAUGUGUUCUCAAGGAGCUCCUUCAGUCUAGGCUGCCCUCCGGACUGCCCUCCUGCCCCUAAGGCACCGGGACACACAGAUGAGCCUCCCACAGGCAGCUCCUGGAGCUCCCCAGGUGGCCUCUCAUGGUCACCUACAGCUAUGAGCUGUAAGGCCCGGAGCCUGAGCCACCAGACUCACCUGGCUCGCCCCACCCUCCCUGCUAGCACCAAGGCGUGUACAGCAUCUUAAGCUUGGAACAAGCAGACUGGAAUUUUCCUCUGCUACCUCUUGUGUACAGAAUCUUGUUUAUAAAUUUCAAAAGGAAGUAGCUAAACUAGGGAAGACUCUGGAUUCUAAAUUUGGUUCAUGUGUGGUGGAGUUCUUAGCUUCUAAGAGUAUAAAAUAAAUUUUUCAAAAAUGU
RNAcentral lists this long non-coding RNA (1575 nucleotides) under Mus musculus (house mouse). RNAcentral describes it as "long non-coding RNA chr4:106439750-106441325". The record is from RNAcentral. Lineage: Eukaryota; Metazoa; Chordata; Mammalia; Rodentia; Muridae.